Molecule: microRNA precursor, 68 nt
Filed under: Paramuricea clavata
Lineage: Eukaryota; Metazoa; Cnidaria; Anthozoa; Malacalcyonacea; Plexauridae
Source: RNAcentral
CCAGGCUCUCUCCUCUACGCCCCUAUCUCGCUACCUCGAGGUAGGAGCGUAGAGGAGAGAGCCUGGGU